AUGUGUCUGCUCCUGUGCUCUGCUGUGCGUUCUCAUUGGACUGGGUCUGUGGAUAAAACGGUGACCGUCUAUGAAGCGAUAUGUGUCUGCAUGCCGUGGUUUGCCUCUGGCUCUAAGGAUCAGACGGUGAAUAUCUGGAGAAUUGGAGAUGAAAGUGCAGAAGCGUGUAAGUCCACCUGCUUGUGCUGAAUACUGACACUGUUUGACCGUCUGAACACUAGAUCAAUGCUCCCCAUUCAACACAAGGGAAGCUUACUGAAAUGUUAUAAUGUCCAUUAUCAUAGAAAAAUCAUUUCAGGAACUAUUUACAAUAAAAUGACAUUCAUUUGUGCUUUCUCUUAGUUUUCCAGCUGAACCAUUGAAAAUGUCGGUCCAAGGUUAGAGCUUCUCACCAUUAACAUUCACCAAUAAAACAAGAGAAAGAAGCACGUUGUUUAUUUACAGUGCAUGGUUUUAUUAAAUCAGAAAACUGAAGGUAAAGCUAAAAGGAUGAGUUAUUGACAUACCAGCGAGGCAGAUUUGGACAUGUGCAAAGUAGUUCACAAGACUGAUCCGAACGAUACAUUCACGAAGCGAACCAAAUCUAAUUCUCAACACACAGACAAUGUGCUUCAUGCUUUCAUACUAGUUCAAGAAAGCUAGAAAUCAUUAUUAUUAUAUAAUUAUACUAUUAUUAUUAUUAUUAUUAUUACAAAAAAUGACCUGUAUAGCAACCUGCUUAAAACCUCUCCGAACCCCCUGAGCACUUCUAACAGUCUGUAGCUCUGAGUUUUGAAUGGAAAACAACUCAUAUUUUCUUCAUAAGUCUUUAAAAUUAUACUUUUACUCCUAAAGAUAAAAAAAAGUGUUAGAUGCAAUGAACACUAAAAUAUGAUCAUCCUCAAGUGAGGAACCCCCUUUCUAAAAUUCAUGUUUUCAUGUAAAGACCCAAUUUAUACUCUGAAAAAUAUUGUGAAUAUUGGUAUUAUUUGAAAAUAAAAGAAAAGAGGGAAAAAAAAGUAUUUCUAUUAAAUUGUUACAUUUUUGUUCUUUUCCCUAUAGUACUGUACUCCUAAGGUGUAUUAUGUAAUUUUUUAUUAUUAUUAUUUAUGCAAAUCAAUUAUUAAUUUAUUAAACUGUAUACAACUUUAUUUUUUUUAAAGAUUUUUAUUUGGCUUAGUAAUUGAUUUAUUUGAAGCUAAACAUUUACACAGUUUUUCUGUAAACUAUAUAGUUUUAUUCUAAAUUGUACACAUACAUAUACAAUACAGAUAUACACACAGACACAUACAUACACACACACACACACAUAAUUAAAAUUCAAACCAAUUUUCUUAGCAGAACUUGUCACCUAAAAAUGCAAUGCUUCAAACUGCCUGAAGCAGCUCAGGUUAAUUCUGACUGUCCUCUGUAGGGAGUUGAUUGAUUGGUUGAGUUUAUCACCUGCAUUGAUGAAGGCUGCAGUUCGAGCCAAUCAGAUGCUUCUGUUAGUCUCGUGGUUGUCCGGUGGGGUCCUCAGGAGAAGCUGGAGCUCUGCGCUAAUGAAUGAAGAGCUGCUGCAGUCAUCAGAACCUGCUGCUGCGGUGAGUCCAGAGAUGACUACAUAUUGAUCACACACGCACGAUUCCCACAGCUCUCUCCAGCUCCUCAUGCAAUCAGCAACCUCUCCAUUGUAAAUGACAGGUGAUGCAUGCUGACAGCGCUGUCUAUGAGAGACACAACUCCAGUGCCGCACAUUAGAGCGCGUGCACCUUCAGAUUUCAAACUUAGCAGGAUGUUUUCAUUCCCUUAGAGCCGUGUUACACACUUCAUUAAAGGUCCAUAAUAGGGGGACUUUAACAAAGCUAUAGGGUGUUAACACACACACACACACACACACACAUACAUAUAUUAGGGCUGGGUUUUGACACAAAUUUCACAGUCCGAUUCAAUUCUCAUUCAAAAGCUUGCAAGACAAAUUGUGUUUGUCACCUUGAGAUGGCCAGAUAUAUUUGGAGUUAUACACGGAAGCAUAAAGCAAAACCAAAAACAGCAAAAUCAUGUUGCUCAACAGUUUUCUCUGUCCUGUAGAGUCGGUGGGUCUCCGGGCUGGAGUGGGAUCUGAGAUCUUCACUGCUGGACUCUGAUGUUCCUCUGUCUGAUCACCAGAGAGCUCAUGAAGGACCCCGUCAUCACUGCAGGUCAGUGCAGGACACAGACACUAAUUAGCUUGUCCUGAUUAAUCUAGAGGUAAAAUAUCUUUAGGUUCACCAAAGAACCUAUCAGUGAACAUUUCAGAAAUUUCAAAUAUUUUAAAUCGGAAAUAUUCCAUGGAUCUUCACAGGGGUCAUGAACUGACUUUAUGAAAAUCACGUGUGAAUUGUCUUGUUUGUUAAUGAAUAUGUGGUAAAAUGACAUGAAAUGAAAAGUGACAUAAGACUAGAACUUCAUUAAAAAUAAAAUGUAUUCUCUUCCUAAUGUUAGGAUCAGAAGAAAGGCAGUGCAAAUACUUAAGUCUUAUUCUCUUCAGAGCAUCUUUAUCAUUUGGUUUCUACAUUCGUCUCUCUCGUGAACACUACAUGUGUGAAUCAGUGGGCGGGGCUAAACAAACUGAUGUUGAUCAUCUGUGGAGGCGGAGCUUAUCCACACUAUGACAUCAUCGAGUAGAAUGUUCCAAAAGCUGUCGUUUUGGCGGACUGCCUUCAAUAUAAGCUGUUUUUAGACUAAAACCCCAAAUUUACAGAUUGUUUUAAAGUACAAUAACCUCUUCCUUGUCAGAAGAUCAAGGGGAUUUUGGUUCCUCCGUUCAUGACCCCUUUAAAGCUCAUGGAAUCAUGAAAACCGAUAAUGAACCUGUACUUUCAGUAUUGUCGACACCGAAAUAAUUCUCAUUCACAACAUUAGCUGUAAUAAUCGAAGUAUCAGUACGACAUCAACAGUCGUUCAACAGCUUCAUGUUCAACAGCUUCAUGUUCAUCUCUUG
Molecule: long non-coding RNA, 2941 nt
Filed under: Carassius auratus (goldfish)
Lineage: Eukaryota; Metazoa; Chordata; Actinopteri; Cypriniformes; Cyprinidae
Description: lncRNA (ENSCARG00000000297.1)
Source: RNAcentral